This 468-nucleotide ribosomal RNA is filed under the name uncultured bacterium. RNAcentral's name for it is "partial 16S ribosomal RNA". It matches the Rfam family "Bacterial small subunit ribosomal RNA", at positions 28 to 507 of the family's 1533-position model. The record is from RNAcentral.
GACGAACGCUGGCGGCGUGCUUAACACAUGCAAGUCGAACGGAAAGGCCCUGCUUUUGGGGGGCGCUCGAGUGGCGAGCGGGUGAGUAACACGUGAGUAACCUGCCCUUCUCUUUGGGAUGACUUCAGGAAACUGGGGCUAAUACCGGAGAGGAGCUCCUGCUGCAUGGGGGGGGUAGGAAAGUUUGGGCGGUUGGGGAUGGACGCGCGGCUUAUCAGCUUGUUGGUGGGGUAGUGGCUUACCAAGGCCUGGACGGGUAGCCGGCCUGGGAGGGUGACCGGCCACAUUGGGACUGAGAUACGGCCCAGACUCCUACGGGAGGCAGCAGUGGGGAAUAUUGCACAAUGGGCGGAAGCCUGAUGCAGCGACGCCGCGUGCGGGAUGACGGCCUUCGGGUUGUAAACCGCUUUCGCCUGUGACGAAGCGUGAGUGACGGUACCGGGUAAAGAAGCACCGGCUAACUACGUG